This 2851-nucleotide ribosomal RNA is filed under the name Salmonella enterica subsp. enterica serovar Enteritidis. RNAcentral describes it as "bacterial LSU rRNA". It matches the Rfam family "Bacterial large subunit ribosomal RNA". The record is from RNAcentral. Lineage: Bacteria; Pseudomonadati; Pseudomonadota; Gammaproteobacteria; Enterobacterales; Enterobacteriaceae.
GGGUUGUGAGGUUAAGCGACUAAGCGUACACGGUGGAUGCCCUGGCAGUCAGAGGCGAUGAAGGGCGUGCUAAUCUGCGAUAAGCGCCGGUAAGGUGAUAUGAACCGUUAUAACCGGCGAUACCCGAAUGGGGAAACCCAGUGUGAUUCGUCACACUAUCAUUAACUGAAUCCAUAGGUUAAUGAGGCGAACCGGGGGAACUGAAACAUCUAAGUACCCCGAGGAAAAGAAAUCAACCGAGAUUCCCCCAGUAGCGGCGAGCGAACGGGGAGGAGCCCAGAGCCUGAAUCAGCAUGUGUGUUAGUGGAAGCGUCUGGAAAGGCGCGCGAUACAGGGUGACAGCCCCGUACACAAAAGCGCAUGUGCUGUGAGCUCGAUGAGUAGGGCGGGACACGUGGUAUCCUGUCUGAAUAUGGGGGGACCAUCCUCCAAGGCUAAAUACUCCUGACUGACCGAUAGUGAACCAGUACCGUGAGGGAAAGGCGAAAAGAACCCCGGCGAGGGGAGUGAAAAAGAACCUGAAACCGUGUACGUACAAGCAGUGGGAGCACAGGUUUACCUGUGUGACUGCGUACCUUUUGUAUAAUGGGUCAGCGACUUAUAUUCUGUAGCAAGGUUAACCGAAUAGGGGAGCCGGAGGGAAACCGAGUCUUAAUUGGGCGUUAAGUUGCAGGGUAUAGACCCGAAACCCGGUGAUCUAGCCAUGGGCAGGUUGAAGGUUGGGUAACACUAACUGGAGGACCGAACCGACUAAUGUUGAAAAAUUAGCGGAUGACCUGUGGCUGGGGGUGAAAGGCCAAUCAAACCGGGAGAUAGCUGGUUCUCCCCGAAAGCUAUUUAGGUAGCGCCUCGUGAAUUCAUCUCCGGGGGUAGAGCACUGUUUCGGCUAGGGGGCCAUCCCGGCUUACCAACCCGAUGCAAACUGCGAAUACCGGAGAAUGUUAUCACGGGAGACACACGGCGGGUGCUAACGUCCGUCGUGAAGAGGGAAACAACCCAGACCGCCAGCUAAGGUCCCAAAGUCAUGGUUAAGUGGGAAACGAUGUGGGAAGGCCCAGACAGCCAGGAUGUUGGCUUAGAAGCAGCCAUCAUUUAAAGAAAGCGUAAUAGCUCCACUCGGUCGAGUCGGCCUGCGCGGAAGAUGUAACGGGGCCUAAACCAUGCACCGAAGGAGGUAUCAGAAGUGCGAAUGCUGACAUAAGUAACGAUAAAGCGGGUGAAAAGCCCGCUCGCCGGAAGACCAAGGGUUCCUGUCCAACGUUAAUCGGGGCAGGGUGAGUCGACCCCUAAGGCGAGGCCGAAAGGCGUAGUCGAUGGGAAACGGGUUAAUAUUCCCGUACUUGGUGUUACUGCGAAGGGGGGACGGAGAAGGCUAUGUUGGCCGGGCGACGGUUGUCCCGGUUUAAGCGUGUAGGUGUGUGUUCCAGGUAAAUCCGGUUCACUUUAACACUGAGGCGUGACGACGAGGCACUACGGUGCUGAAGCAACAAAUGCCCUGCUUCCAGGAAAAGCCUCUAAGCAUCAGGUAACAUCAAAUCGUACCCCAAACCGACACAGGUGGUCAGGUAGAGAAUACCAAGGCGCUUGAGAGAACUCGGGUGAAGGAACUAGGCAAAAUGGUGCCGUAACUUCGGGAGAAGGCACGCUGACACGUAGGUGAAGUGAUUUACUCAUGGAGCUGAAGUCAGUCGAAGAUACCAGCUGGCUGCAACUGUUUAUUAAAAACACAGCACUGUGCAAACACGAAAGUGGACGUAUACGGUGUGACGCCUGCCCGGUGCCGGAAGGUUAAUUGAUGGGGUCAGCGCAAGCGAAGCUCCUGAUCGAAGCCCCGGUAAACGGCGGCCGUAACUAUAACGGUCCUAAGGUAGCGAAAUUCCUUGUCGGGUAAGUUCCGACCUGCACGAAUGGCGUAAUGAUGGCCAGGCUGUCUCCACCCGAGACUCAGUGAAAUUGAACUCGCUGUGAAGAUGCAGUGUACCCGCGGCAAGACGGAAAGACCCCGUGAACCUUUACUAUAGCUUGACACUGAACAUUGAGCCUUGAUGUGUAGGAUAGGUGGGAGGCUUUGAAGUGUGGACGCCAGUCUGCAUGGAGCCGACCUUGAAAUACCACCCUUUAAUGUUUGAUGUUCUAACGUGGACCCGUUACCCGGGUUGCGGACAGUGUCUGGUGGGUAGUUUGACUGGGGCGGUCUCCUCCUAAAGAGUAACGGAGGAGCACGAAGGUUGGCUAAUCCUGGUCGGACAUCAGGAGGUUAGUGCAAUGGCAUAAGCCAGCUUGACUGCGAGCGUGACGGCGCGAGCAGGUGCGAAAGCAGGUCAUAGUGAUCCGGUGGUUCUGAAUGGAAGGGCCAUCGCUCAACGGAUAAAAGGUACUCCGGGGAUAACAGGCUGAUACCGCCCAAGAGUUCAUAUCGACGGCGGUGUUUGGCACCUCGAUGUCGGCUCAUCACAUGGGGCUGAAGUAGGUCCCAAGGGUAUGGCUGUUCGCCAUUUAAAGUGGUACGCGAGCUGGGUUUAGAACGUCGUGAGACAGUUCGGUCCCUAUCUGCCGUGGGCGCUGGAGAACUGAGGGGGGCUGCUCCUAGUACGAGAGGACCGGAGUGGACGCAUCACUGGUGUUCGGGUUGUCAUGCCAAUGGCACUGCCCGGUAGCUAAAUGCGGAAGAGAUAAGUGCUGAAAGCAUCUAAGCACGAAACUUGCCCCGAGAUGAGUUCUCCCUGAGACUUAAAGUCUCCUGAAGGAACGUUGAAGACGACGACGUUGAUAGGCCGGGUGUGUAAGCGCAGCGAUGCGUUGAGCUAACCGGUACUAAUGAACCGUGAGGCUUAACCUUACAACGCCGAAG